This 547-nucleotide ribosomal RNA is filed under the name uncultured prokaryote. RNAcentral's name for it is "partial 16S ribosomal RNA". It matches the Rfam family "Bacterial small subunit ribosomal RNA", at positions 28 to 592 of the family's 1533-position model. The record is from RNAcentral.
GAUGAACGCUGACAGAAUGCUUAACACAUGCAAGUCGAUUCGAUUUACCUUCGGGUAUUGAGGAUGGCGGACGGGUGAGUAACGCGUAAGGAACUUGCCUCUUGGUCUGGGACAACUGUUGGAAACGACAGCUAAUACCGGAUAUUAUGAGAUUCUCGCAUGGGAAACUUAUGAAAGCUAUAUGCGCCAAGAGAGAGCCUUGCGUUCCAUUAGCUAGUUGGUGGGGUAACGGCCCACCAAGGCGACGAUGGAUAGCCGGCCUGAGAGGGUGAACGGCCACAAGGGGACUGAGACACGGCCCUUACUCCUACGGGAGGCAGCAGUGGGGAAUAUUGGNNNNNGNGNNNNNAGCCUGAUCCAGCAAUUCUGUGUGCACGAUGAAGGUCUUCGGAUUGUAAAGUGCUUUCAGUUGGGAAGAAGAAAGUGACGGUACCAACAGAAGAAGCGACGGCUAAAUACGUGCCAGCAGCCGCGGUAAUACGUAUGUCGCAAGCGUUAUCCGGAUUUAUUGGGCGUAAAGCGCGUCUAGGCGGAAAAANAAGUCUGA